RNAcentral lists this ribosomal RNA (253 nucleotides) under uncultured bacterium. RNAcentral's name for it is "partial 16S ribosomal RNA". It matches the Rfam family "Bacterial small subunit ribosomal RNA", at positions 524 to 776 of the family's 1533-position model. The record is from RNAcentral.
UACGUAGGGUGCAAGCGUUGUCCGGAAUUAUUGGGCGUAAAGAGCUCGUAGGCGGUCUGUCACGUCGGCUGUGAAAACCCGAGGCUCAACCUCGGGCCUGCAGUCGAUACGGGCAGACUAGAGUUCGGUAGGGGAGACUGGAAUACUUGGUGUAGCAGUGAAAUGCGUAGAUAUCAAGUGGAACACCAGUGGCGAAGGCGAGUCUCUGGACAUUUCCUGACGCUGAGGCACGAAAGCCAGGGGAGCAAACGGG